AACUGCUGCACAAGGAGUGUUCGAUUGGACUCCUUUUCACACAAUGAACAACCAGCUUAGAACUGAUGCGGGCAAGGGGAAUCCGACUGUUUAAUUGAAACAAAGUAUUGCGAUGCCCUGAAAGGAUGUUGACACAAUGUGAUUUCUGCCCAGUGCUCUGAAUGUCAAAGUGAGGAGAUUCAACUAAGCGCGGGUAAACGGCGGGAGUAACUAUGACUCUCUUAAGGUAGCCAAAUGCCUCGUCAUCCAAUUAGUGACGCGCAUGAAUGGAUUAAUGAGAUUCCUACUGUCCCAAUCUACUGUCCAGCGAAACCACAGCCAAGGGAACGGGCUUGGGUGAGUCAGCGGGGAAAGAAGACCCUGUUGAGCUUGACUCUAAUCCGACUUUGUGAAAUGACUUAGGAGGAGUAGGAUAUGUGGGAGCUCAGGUGAUCUUGAAAUACCACUACUUUUAAUGUCACUUUACUUACUCUAUCCAACUGUGCCCUGCCUCACAGCAGGUUUUUGCUUUUAAGGUUGCUCUUUUGGCGUGUUGAUUUGCGUAGAAGACGUCGUCCGGUGGGGAGUUUGGCUGGGGCGGCACAU
RNAcentral lists this ribosomal RNA (585 nucleotides) under Gambierdiscus excentricus. RNAcentral's name for it is "partial large subunit ribosomal RNA". It matches the Rfam family "Eukaryotic large subunit ribosomal RNA", at positions 2052 to 2638 of the family's 3401-position model. The record is from RNAcentral. Lineage: Eukaryota; Dinophyceae; Gonyaulacales; Pyrocystaceae.